Molecule: ribosomal RNA, 468 nt
Filed under: uncultured bacterium
Lineage: Bacteria
Description: partial 16S ribosomal RNA
Rfam family: Bacterial small subunit ribosomal RNA
Source: RNAcentral
GACGAACGCUGGCGGCGUGCUUAACACAUGCAAGUCGAACGGAAAGGCCCUGCUUUUGUGGGGUGCUCGAGUGGCGAACGGGUGAGUAACACGUGAGUAACCUGCCCUUGACUUUGGGAUAACUUCAGGAAACUGGGGCUAAUACCGGAUAGGAGCUCCUGCUGCAUGGUGGGGGUUGGAAAGUUUCGGCGGUUGGGGAUGGACUCGCGGCUUAUCAGCUUGUUGGUGGGGUAGUGGCUUACCAAGGCUUUGGCGGGUAGCCGGCCUGAGAGGGUGACCGGCCACAUUGGGACUGAGAUACGGCCCAGACUUCUACGGGAGGCAGCAGUGGGGAAUAUUGCACAAUGGGCGGAAGCCUGAUGCAGCAACGCCGCGUGCGGGAUGACGGCCUUCGGGUUGUAAACCGCUUUCGCCUGUGACGAAGCGUGAGUGACGGUAAUGGGUAAAGAAGCACCGGCUAACUACGUG